Cyprinus carpio (common carp) is the source of this 831-nucleotide non-coding RNA. NCBI's taxonomy places the organism in Eukaryota, Metazoa, Chordata, Actinopteri, Cypriniformes, Cyprinidae. The record is from the annotation of a RefSeq genome assembly.
UGAGGAAACUACUACUAAGAAAAAAAAAUCAUUGUCAUUUUGUAAUGCUUUUUGGUAACCAUAAGAUGGCAAUAUUCACCACAUAUUCAUAUUAUUAAGCCUCAUUACAGGAUCAUUAGCUCCUCCUUUUCUAUUUACUUGUUUAAAAAACAGAUCUCUCAUUCACAUAUGUGUUUCUCUCCCUCUUUCAUUAAUGUACUAUACAACAAAAAUGAUACUGUGAUACUGAUUGAAGGAUAAGAUCUGUGUCACAAUAUUUGCAGUUGUUUUUGCAUAAUCUUCAGAGAGCAAGAAGUUCCUGAGUGACUGUAGGACUCAGAUCCUGAUUUCCUGGAGAAACUCAGAGCAUCACAAUCAUCACAACCCAGAGAACAGAAGAGCAACAACAGAACAGAUCUAACUUAGUAAACAUGGACAGACACUUGGUACUGAUUUUAAUCAUGACUUCAGGUGCAAUGGCAGCUGACCAGAUUGGGCCAAAUAAGGGUGCAAAUGUCAUCAGUACAGAAGGAGAGUCUGUGAGAUUGAGUUGCUCAUAUGAUACAAGCAGCAGCUAUGUUAGACUUUACUGGUACAGACAGUAUCUUAAUAAAGAACCUCAGUAUUUAAUGUGGAAAGAUUCUGCGUCAUGGGGUGCUACUGGAACCCCUGCUGAUCCUCGGUUUCAGAUGACUACAUCAGAAACAUCCACUGAACUCACCAUUACUAGUGUAACUCUGUCGGAUUCGGCUCUCUAUUACUGUGCUCUAAGAGCUGGAGCCCAGUGAUACAAAGUCUAUGUGAAGCCGUACAAAAACUCAAUUUCAUUUUUCUCUUUGAAAAUGAACCACA